Molecule: ribosomal RNA, 465 nt
Filed under: uncultured bacterium
Lineage: Bacteria
Description: partial 16S ribosomal RNA
Rfam family: Bacterial small subunit ribosomal RNA
Source: RNAcentral
GACGAACGCUGGCGGCGUGCUUAACACAUGCAAGUCGAACGGAAAGGCCCUGCUUGCAGGGUACUCGAGUGGCGAACGGGUGGGUAACACGUGGGUGAUCUGCCCUGCACUUCGGGAUAAGCCUGGGAAACUGGGUCUAAUACCGGAUAUGACCUUCCAUGUAGUGUGGGGGGUGGAAAGAUUUAUCGGUGUGGGAUGAGCCCGCGGCCUAUCAGCUUGUUGGUGGGGUAAUGGCCUACCAAGGCGUCGACGGGUAGCCGGCCUGAGAGGGUGGACGGCCACAUUGGGACUGAGAUACGGCCCAGACUCCUACGGGAGGCAGCAGUGGGGAAUAUUGCACAAUGGGCGGAAGCCUGAUGCAGCGACGCCGCGUGGGGGAUGACGGCCUUCGGGUUGUAAACCUCUUUCGACAGGGACGAAGCUUCGGUGACGGUACCUGUAUAAGAAGCACCGGCUAACUACGUG